Molecule: ribosomal RNA, 484 nt
Filed under: uncultured bacterium
Lineage: Bacteria
Description: partial 16S ribosomal RNA
Rfam family: Bacterial small subunit ribosomal RNA
Source: RNAcentral
AUUGAACGCUGGCGGCAGGCCUAACACAUGCAAGUCGAGCGGAUGAAGGGAGCUUGCUCCUGGAUUCAGCGGCGGACGGGUGAGUAAUGCCUAGGAAUCUGCCUGGUAGUGGGGGAUAACGUCCGGAAACGGGCGCUAAUACCGCAUACGUCCUGAGGGAGAAAGUGGGGGAUCUUCGGACCUCACGCUAUCAGAUGAGCCUAGGUCGGAUUAGCUAGUUGGUGGGGUAAAGGCCUACCAAGGCGACGAUCCGUAACUGGUCUGAGAGGAUGAUCAGUCACACUGGAACUGAGACACGGUCCAGACUCCUACGGGAGGCAGCAGUGGGGAAUAUUGGACGAUGGGCGAAAGCCUGAUCCAGCCAUGCCGCGUGUGUGAAGAAGGUCUUCGGAUUGUAAAGCACUUUACGUUGGGAGGAAGGGCAGUAAGUUAAUACCUUGCUGUUUUGACGUUACCAACAGAAUAAGCACCGGCUAACUUCGUG